Molecule: long non-coding RNA, 854 nt
Filed under: Sus scrofa (pig)
Lineage: Eukaryota; Metazoa; Chordata; Mammalia; Artiodactyla; Suidae
Description: lncRNA (ENSSSCG00015025673.1)
Source: RNAcentral
AAGGCCUGAAAACGGAGACGGCCAGGACGUGGGGCUGCGGGAGGGGCCAGCUCCCCGGGGGCGCCUCCCUGCGGAGCAGGAGCGCCCCGGACGCCACCUGAUCUCACUGGGGUCCCGAAAGGGGACCUGCGCCCCCGCCCCCCUUCAAGCGACCCUUUUGAAGACGGGCGGGAAGAAUCUGGCUGCAGAAGCCUGGCUCCGAUGGAGAGCCAGCUGCUUUUUGCAGACAGGCUGGGGCCGUGGGCAGUGAGGAGGGCCGGCAGUUCCAGGGGGAAGACCUUUCCCUCCUGGGAGGUUGCACCUGGCUGCAGGCGCUGCCUGGAGUGGAAGAAAGACGACCGGACAUAGCACUGAACACCAGCCUUUGAAAACAAUGCAAGCUUGCCCCUCCCCUGAUCCUUAUCUGCAGCCCUGUUUUUCACUCCCCAAACUAUAAAACUCUAAUAAAACUGCCUCCCAAUCUCUGCUAAGGGGGUGGCACCGUCUUCAAGGCACUAGACUGCGGCGACCUUCCUUUGCCUGGCAAAGCAAUAAAGCUAUUUUUAUCCCUUCGCCCAAAUCCCUGUCUCCACGUUCCCAUUCAGCACUAGUGAGCAGAGAUCAAGUUGGGGUGACAAGGUCAGGGCAAGUUGCUGUGCCUGAAGCGCCGUGGAGCCCAACAAAUCCACACAAUGGAGUUUGGAGCAGCGAAAGGUUUAUUACAGGCCAUGCAAGGAGAUUGCGGGGAGGUGGGGGGCGGGGGGUGGGGCGGGGGCUUGCUCCUGCCCCAAAAGCCCAAACUCCCGAACAAAAUUGUAAAGCAUUUUUUAAAAAUUUUACUUUAUUUUAUAAUUACUUUUUUUGGGGCUUGGUCU